AACGAACGCUGGCGGCAGGCCUCAAACAUGCAAGUCUAGGGGGUGUAGCAAUACAUCACCGGCGGACGGGUGCGUAACGCGUGGGAAUAUACCUAUCGAUUCGGAACAACUGAGGGAAACUUCAGCUAAUACCGAAUACGUCCUAACGGAGAAAGAUUUAUCGUCGAUAGAUUAGCCCGCGUUCGAUUAGCGAGUUGGUGGGGUAACGGCCCACCAAGGCGACGAUCGAUAGCUGUUCUGAGAGGAAGAUCAGCCACACUGGGACUGAGACACGGCCCAGACUCCUACGGGAGGCAGCAGUUGGGAAUCUUGGACAAUGGGGGGAAACCCUGAUCCAGCCAUGCCGCGUGAGUGAUGAAGGCCUUCGGGUUGGUAAAACUCUUUCGUCGCACGACGAUAAUGACGGUAGUGCGAGAAGAAGCUCCGGCUAACUUCGUGCCAGCAGCCGCGGUAAU
Molecule: ribosomal RNA, 455 nt
Filed under: uncultured bacterium
Lineage: Bacteria
Description: bacterial SSU rRNA
Rfam family: Bacterial small subunit ribosomal RNA
Source: RNAcentral